UAAAAUGGGCUGACACUGAAAGAACCUUGCAGAAUCUCAGCAACGUCACAGUGGACAUUGUUAGCACAGCCAGCGGGCUCCUGCUGGGCUGAGUUUGUGGGUAACCCAAGCCUCGGCAGGUACAGUUCCUCCCUCAGGGCCCAGGACACAGAGAGCAUACAAUAGACAUUAGCUGCUGUGGUCUCUUGAUUUCAAGCCCAGUGCAGAUGCAUCUGACUUAUGAAACUUCAGUGACACCUGCUCUGUGCCAGACACCGAAGAUGGAGCAGUGAACAGCGCUGACCCAGCCUGUCCUCCUGUUGCCUGCAGGCCAGAAGCAAGGUCUCGCUGUGUUACCCGGGCUGGAGUGCAGUGGCUACUUACAGACAUGAUCAUAGCAUACUGCAGCCUCGAACUCCUGGACUAAAGCAGUUCUCCUGCCUCAGCCUCCAGAGCAGCUGGGACUGCAGACAUGCACCACAGAGCCCAGCCUGAGUCAUUUUGAUUCUGUAACUGGUGUCCUCUCGGCGGGCUGGCUCACACCCUCCACCACCAGCUGGAGAUGGAAGGAGGAUGCUCACUGUUCAUUCCUCAUGCAGGCCAUCGAUGGAAAUGUCAGACAGUGCGAGUCCACACCUGAACAGUUCUGGGGUCCGCUCUGGGACUGACACUGGCAGAUCCAUCGAUGCUGUUCCAUUGUUUGCUGACUUGCAUCGUUUCUAUGAGAAGUCUGCAGUCUUUUGCAGCAUUGUUUUCCUAUGUAUGCUUGUCUCCUCCCACCCCACUCACCCCAGCUGCUUUCCACAUUCUCUCUCUUUAAUUUUCAGCAGUCUGCCCAUGAUGUGCCUAAA
Molecule: long non-coding RNA, 830 nt
Filed under: Pongo abelii (Sumatran orangutan)
Lineage: Eukaryota; Metazoa; Chordata; Mammalia; Primates; Hominidae
Description: lincRNA
Source: RNAcentral